RNAcentral lists this ribosomal RNA (559 nucleotides) under Fusarium sp. Papochf 05. RNAcentral's name for it is "eukaryotic LSU rRNA". The stretch from base 180 to 333 matches the Rfam family "5.8S ribosomal RNA". RNAcentral also lists the same sequence under 1 other name. The record is from RNAcentral. Lineage: Eukaryota; Fungi; Ascomycota; Sordariomycetes; Hypocreales; Nectriaceae.
UCCGUAGGUGAACCUGCGGAGGGAUCAUUACCGAGUUUACAACUCCCAAACCCCUGUGAACAUACCUUACUGUUGCCUCGGCGGAUCAGCCCGCUCCCGGUAAAACGGGACGGCCCGCCAGAGGACCCCUAAACUCUGUUUCUAUAUGUAACUUCUGAGUAAAACCAUAAAUAAAUCAAAACUUUCAACAACGGAUCUCUUGGUUCUGGCAUCGAUGAAGAACGCAGCAAAAUGCGAUAAGUAAUGUGAAUUGCAGAAUUCAGUGAAUCAUCGAAUCUUUGAACGCACAUUGCGCCCGCCAGUAUUCUGGCGGGCAUGCCUGUUCGAGCGUCAUUUCAACCCUCAAGCCCUCGGGUUUGGUGUUGGGGAUCGGCGAGCCUUUCUGGCAAGCCGGCCCCGAAAUCUAGUGGCGGUCUCGCUGCAGCCUCCAUUGCGUAGUAGUAAAACCCUCGCAACUGGAACGCGGCGCGGCCAAGCCGUUAAACCCCCAACUUCUGAAUGUUGACCUCGGAUCAGGUAGGAAUACCCGCUGAACUUAAGCAUAUCAAUAAGCGGAGGA